Small nuclear RNA from Trichechus manatus latirostris (Florida manatee), 103 nucleotides. NCBI's taxonomy places the organism in Eukaryota, Metazoa, Chordata, Mammalia, Sirenia, Trichechidae. The record is from RefSeq and is a predicted model, not a curated record.
GUGCUGCUUCAGCAACACAUAUAUUAAAAUUGGGAAUAUAGAAGAUUAGCAUGGCCCCUGAACAAAGAUGACAUGUAAAUUCUUGAAGGUGUUCCAUAUUUUU